GGGAAAGUCUGAUAUUCAAACAUCGACACGUCUGAAGCUCUUCAGUCACAAAUGGAUGGCACAUGCCCACCUUUGAAAGCUGAGGAUGAGGAAGGUCCCUGUCCAUCUGGAGAUGAAUGCACUCAACCAUUCUUCCCAGGUGAUGGUACUCUGGACAUCAAGCCGGACCCGUUGACCUUGUCACCUUCAGGAGCAGCUCUGAGCGACUCUGAUGGCUGCUCGGAGGCUCCAGCUGCAGACCACCCGGACCCGCCUGACGCCAGGGAUGAGUGGCCGGCGCCCGUCGCCUCGCAUGACGACGCUCCCGAUGUCCAGCCCGAUCCGUUGGCGUUGUCUGCCUUAGACGAGGAUCUGCUCGCAGAUACCAGUCCCCCGUCAUUCAGUAAAUCUGCCAAGCUCCGGUUUUCGGUGGAGGAGGGCUUUCGCCGCGGGACCUGUGUGUAUCAGGCAGAGGACGGCCACUCGUACCUCGUGAGGU
This is a long non-coding RNA of Pollicipes pollicipes, 478 nucleotides long. RefSeq lists it as uncharacterized. The transcript has 6 exons. The record is from RefSeq and is a predicted model, not a curated record. NCBI's taxonomy places the organism in Eukaryota, Metazoa, Arthropoda, Thecostraca, Pollicipedomorpha, Pollicipedidae.